Molecule: long non-coding RNA, 589 nt
Organism: Gossypium arboreum
Lineage: Eukaryota; Viridiplantae; Streptophyta; Magnoliopsida; Malvales; Malvaceae
Exons: 2
Source: RefSeq, a predicted model, not a curated record
UACAUGAAUAAAUAAAUAAUACUUACUAUUUAAGGAUAAAUACAUGUGUGUGUGUAUAUAUAUAUAUAUAUAUAUGAAAAGAAGAAGAAAAAAAAGAGAGAGAGAGAAUAGAAAGGAAGAAACAAAGCAAACGAAACAGAGAGAGGGGAAGGAAAGAAAGAAAAAGAGAAAAGAAAGAAGAAAAGGAAAAAUUAAAGGUGUGAAGCUUGGAAGUUUAAUAGUGUUGACAAGCCAGCUCGGAAAUCGGAAAAGGUCGGAGGCACGUUCACACUAUCCGUAUUCCAUCUUGGCAUAAUGGCUUGUAUAUUUUGAGUAUGGCAUGUAUAGCAUUAUAAUCAUUUUGUGUAUAUGGUCUUAUGAUAUGGUUAUUGAGUGGUAUGGAAAUGCUUGAUAAUGAUUAGCCAUUGGAAUGGCUAAUCAUGAUCAUAUUUGGUGUUAUGUAUGCUAAAUUGCUAGCUAAUCCAUGGAAACCAUGAAAUAGGUAAAAUUUACCAUAAAAUAGAUUCAGACAGCAGUAGUGAUGUGAAUUUGAAAAAUCACUAAAAAUAGUAGAAAUGAAAUUAAAUAAUGAAUAAGUUAUUGAAUUUAA